AAUGGCUUACCAAGGCUACGACGGGUAGCGGGACUGAGAGGUUGGCCCGCCACAUCGGGACUGAGACACUGCCCGGACCUCCACGGAGGGCUGCAGUAACGGAUAUUGGGCAAUGGGCGAAAGCCUGACCCAGCAAUGCCGCGUGCAGGAUGAAGCCCCUCGGGGUGUAAACUGCUGUCAGGGGCAAGAAAGUCUUCGGAUUGAUCAGCCCCAAAGGAAGUCACGGCUAACUUCGUGCCAGCAGCCGCGGUAAUACGAAGGUGGCGAGCGUUAUUCGGAAUCAUUGGGCUUAAAGGGCACGCAGGCGGGAUAGCAAGUGUCAAGUGAAAUCCCCCGGCUUAACCGGGGAAUUGCUUGACAAACUGCUGUCCUUGAGACAGGCAGGGGUGCAUGGAACUCUUGGUGGAGCGGUGGAAUGCGUAGAUAUCAAGAGGAACGCCGGAGGUGAAGACGGUGCACUGGGCCUGUUCUGACGCUGAGGUGCGAAAGCGUGGGGAGCAAACGGGAUUAGAUACCCCGGUAGUCCACGCCGUAAACGAUGCCUACUAGGUUGUGGGAGUUCUGACGCUCUCACAGCCGCAGCAAAAGUGUUAAGUAGGCCGCCUGGGGAGUACGGCCGCAAGGUUAAAACUCAAAGGAAUUGACGGGGGCUCACACAAGCGGUGGAGCAUGUGGAUUAAUUCGAAGCAACGCGCAGAACCUUACCUGGGUUUGACAUGCUUGGAUGCCUGCCUGGAAACAGGUUAGGCUGCCCUUCGGGGUGAAACUUGCACAGGUGCUGCAUGGCUGUCGUCAGCUCGUGUCGUGAGAUGUCGGGUUAAGUCCUUUAACGAGCGAAACCCUUGCCGUUAGUUGCCAGCGGGUCAUGCCGGGGACUCUAACGGGACUGCCGGUGUUAAACCGGAGGAAGGUGGGGAUGACGUCAAGUCCUCAUGGCCUUUAUGCCCAGGGCUUCACACGUGCUACAAUGGCAGGUACAGAGGGAUGCGAGACCGCAAGGUGGAGCGAAGCCCAAAAAACCUGCCUCAGUUCGGAUUGCAGGCUGUCAAUUCGCCUGCAUGAAGUUGGAAUCGCUAGUAAUCGCGUAUCAGCUAUGACGCGGUGAAUGUGUUCCUGAGCAUUGUACACACCGCCCGUCAAGUGAUGGAAGCCGGGAGUACCCGAAGUCGGAUUGCUAAC
This 1179-nucleotide ribosomal RNA is filed under the name uncultured organism. RNAcentral's name for it is "bacterial SSU rRNA". It matches the Rfam family "Bacterial small subunit ribosomal RNA", at positions 259 to 1439 of the family's 1533-position model. The record is from RNAcentral.